RNAcentral lists this ribosomal RNA (451 nucleotides) under uncultured bacterium. RNAcentral describes it as "bacterial SSU rRNA". It matches the Rfam family "Bacterial small subunit ribosomal RNA", at positions 396 to 863 of the family's 1533-position model. The record is from RNAcentral.
ACCGCGUGAGGGAUGAGGCCUUCGGGUUGUAAACCUCUUUUCUUGGGGAAGAAUUUUGACGGUACCCAAGGAAUAAGCCUCGGCCAACUACGUGCCAGCAGCCGCGGUAAUACGUAGGAGGCGAACGUUAUUCGGAUUUACUGGGCGUAAAGGGAGCGUAGGCGGUUCCUUAAGUCAGAUGUGAAAUCUUCUGACUCAAUCGGAAGGGGCCAUUUGAUACUGAGGGACUUGAGAGCAGCAGAGGGAAAUGGAAUCUCCAGUGUAGCGGUGAAAUGCGUAGAUAUUGGGGAGAACACCAGUGGCGAAGGCGAUUUCCCAGGUUGUUUCUGACGCUGAGGCUCGAAAGCGUGGGGAGCGAAGCGGAUUAGAUACCCGCGUAGUCCACGCCCUAAACGGUGGACACUAGAUAUGGGAGGUAUCGACCCUUUCUGUGUCGAAGCUAACGCUUUAA